AACGAACGCUGGCGGCAUGCCUAACACAUGCAAGUCGAACGAGACCUUCGGGUCUAGUGGCGCACGGGUGCGUAACGCGUGGGAACCUGCCCUUAGGUUCGGAAUAACUCAGAGAAAUUUGAGCUAAUACCGGAUAAUGUCUUCGGACCAAAGAUUUAUCGCCUUUGGAUGGGCCCGCGUAGGAUUAGCUUGUUGGUGGGGUAAUGGCCUACCAAGGCGACGAUCCUUAGCUGGUCUGAGAGGAUGAUCAGCCACACUGGGACUGAGACACGGCCCAGACUCCUACGGGAGGCAGCAGUGGGGAAUAUUGGACAAUGGGCGAAAGCCUGAUCCAGCAAUGCCGCGUGAGUGAUGAAGGCCUUAGGGUUGUAAAGCUCUUACCAGGGAUGAUAAUGACAGUACCUGGAGAAUAAGCUCCGGCUAACUCCGUG
RNAcentral lists this ribosomal RNA (431 nucleotides) under uncultured bacterium. Its description in RNAcentral is "partial 16S ribosomal RNA". It matches the Rfam family "Bacterial small subunit ribosomal RNA", at positions 29 to 507 of the family's 1533-position model. The record is from RNAcentral.